GGGAGGCAGGCUGGACAGGAGGCAGAAAAGGGAAUGUAGACUAAGCAACUUCCAGACCACUCACUGGGGAUGCCAGCCACCGUAUCAUGAGGUCAAGCAGCAUGAAGGGGUCUAUACGGUGAGGGAGCGCCAGCUGCGUAAGUCACCCUAGAAGUGUGUCCUCCAGGCCCAAGUGUGCCCUUCAGGUGACUACAGCUGUGACACCGUGACUACCACCUCUGAGCCACUGUGGCCAGAACGACCUAGAAAUGCCACUCCUGAAUUCUGGACCCACAGAAAUCACGUGAGAUGUUUAUUAUUGUUUUCAGCCACUGAAUUUAAGAGUACUUCAAUUUACAGCAACAGUUCAUACUGUCUUAAAGGGCAGAAGUUGCCUGCUGGCAUGGCCUUCUCGUGGAGCCUUCCACAGUCCAGGCUCCCCACUAGUGAGAUGCUCCAGUAGCCCCAAGCUGUCUGCCGGGGCACUGCUGGGCAUUAGAAGGCACUGCUUUCCCUCCAGGCUGGAGUACCUGAGUAUUACAGGCUGACUUGUUAUUUUGCAACGUAGGAGGUACGCCCAAUAUUAUGCAAAGAAACUUGUGCUCAUGUUACUGAAAUAAGCAAGCUCAAGGGUGAAUGCAAAAAUUCUCUACAUCACUGUGCCCUGGUGGCAUAUUUUUCUAUUUUUAGCUCUUUUCAUUCAGAAAAGCCAGCAAGAACUCUUAUUCAAUCACAUCUUCUUUCGGGACUUCUUGAUGAUAUACCAGAGAACUUUAUUUUUUAAAAAUAAAGAUUAAUCAUGUCAAUAGUUGUCUUUCCCCCACCCCAAACUGUUCUAAAGCUUAAAUAUUGUAGGAGUACCUGAGUGGUUCAGUCAGUUAAGCAUUCGACUCUUGAUCUCGGCUCAGGUCAUGAUCUCCUGGUCCGUGGGAUCAAGCCCCACAUCAGGCUCUGCGCUGACAGCACAGGGCUUGCUUGGGAUUCUCUCUCCCUCUCUCUUUGUCCCUUCCCUGCAUGUGCAAGCAUGUGUGUGCACCUGCUCUCUCUCUCUCUUAAUAAAUAUGUAAACUUAAAAAAAAAUCUUAAAUAUUGUAAUUGCUAAAAUAAGUAUUGA
This is a long non-coding RNA of Panthera uncia (snow leopard), 1093 nucleotides long. RefSeq lists it as uncharacterized. Lineage: Eukaryota; Metazoa; Chordata; Mammalia; Carnivora; Felidae. The transcript has 3 exons. The record is from RefSeq and is a predicted model, not a curated record.